GUCUGGUAUGUGGCUAGAAAUGCAAUUCCUCCUGAUAUAUAACAUUUCUCAAGUCUAAGCCAUUUACAACUGAAUUUUGUCCCUAAUGAUCAGAAACACUUGGUAGCUAGCAGAUGGAAAGUCACAGGAUUUGUUUUCUGCUGAUCAGCAAGCAAGUUUCACUCUCAAUUUCACUCUCUCAGGCCUUCUCACUCCAUAUCUCCAUCUUAGUAGAAGCUUGCUUAGUAGAAGGAUUCAUGAAAUUUUGCUGUGUAAAGUGAACAGGAGAGGUUUCCAGGUCGGCUAGAUAAAGAGGUUUGUGCACAGAGAACUUACUACAGAGCACAGAGCUCAUGGAUGAUUCCUGUAUAAGAGGGGACAAAAGAGGAGGGGAGCCUGAUGGACUGCAGGAGGGGUAGGAGAUCCAGUGCUUGGUGCAGCCUUCAGUCCGUACUUCUGCUGGGAUGGUAAAGACUAUUGCGGCUGGUAGUGCUAAGUACAAAUGUUCAAAAAGCCCCUGGAGGAAAGCACUCUAUUGCACUUUACUUAAAGUGCUAUAAGUUAGAGCAUGCUCCAACUCAACAGACACAUGCAGGCCUCCCCACCCCCAGCCCCCCCAGUUGGGGACUGUCAGCAGUGGCUGAG
RNAcentral lists this long non-coding RNA (624 nucleotides) under Crocodylus porosus (Australian saltwater crocodile). Its description in RNAcentral is "lncRNA (ENSCPRG00005019133.1)". The record is from RNAcentral. Lineage: Eukaryota; Metazoa; Chordata; Crocodylia; Crocodylidae.